AUGAGUCGUCAUGAUGGCAUCAACAUCCCCGAUGGCAAGUUCUACCGUAGAGAUGUUGGCUAUGCAUGUCGGCCAGCUGUUCUUCCACCCUUCAGGAAAACCAGGUACCAUCUGAACAAGUUUGCUGGUAGGAACUAUCCUAGGACUCCUCAGGAACUAUUCAAUCUCAGACACUCCAGCCUUAGAGUGACUGUUGAGAGAGCUUUUGGAGCUCUGAAGAACAGGUUUAAGAUCCUGGAUCAGAAGCCAUUCCACCCUUACCCUACCCAGGUGAAGCUUGUUCUUGCAUGUUGCAUCAUUCACAACUGGAUCCUGCAAUGGGGAGUUGAUGAAUUUGUGCCAGAGGAGGAAGAUGUGACUCCUGAUGAGGUGAUCAGCUCCGGCCAUGGAGUGGAGGCGUUCGACAAUGAAGCGUGGAAGAACAAAAGGUUGGAGUGGGCUCAGGCAAUG
RNAcentral lists this ribosomal RNA (450 nucleotides) under Triticum aestivum (bread wheat). RNAcentral's name for it is "partial small subunit ribosomal RNA". Lineage: Eukaryota; Viridiplantae; Streptophyta; Magnoliopsida; Poales; Poaceae. The record is from RNAcentral.